CCUACGGGUGGCAGCAGUGAGGAAUAUUGGUCAAUGGGCGAAAGCCUGAACCAGCCAUGCCGCGUGCAGGAAGACGGCUCUAUGAGUUGUAAACUGCUUUUGUACGAGGGUAAACACAGAUACGUGUAUCUGCUUGAAAGUAUCGUACGAAUAAGGAUCGGCUAACUCCGUGCCAGCAGCCGCGGUAAUACGGAGGAUCCAAGCGUUAUCCGGAUUUAUUGGGUUUAACGGGUGCGUAGGCGGUUUAGUAAGUCAGCGGUGAAAUUUUGGGGCUCAACCCCAGAAGGGCCGUUGAUACUGCUGGGCUAGAGAAUGGUUGAGGUAGGCGGAAUGCAUGGUGGAGCGGUGAAAUGCUUAGAGAUCACACAGAACACCGAUUGCGAAGGCAGCUUACCAAACUAUAACUGACGUUGAGGCACGAAAGCGUGGGGAGCAAACAGGAUUAGAUACCCGAGUAGUC
RNAcentral lists this ribosomal RNA (460 nucleotides) under uncultured bacterium. RNAcentral describes it as "partial 16S ribosomal RNA". It matches the Rfam family "Bacterial small subunit ribosomal RNA", at positions 338 to 795 of the family's 1533-position model. The record is from RNAcentral.